GCAGUCAGAGGCGAUGAAGGACGUGCUACCCUGCGAAAAGGGUUGGUGAGCUGGGAUGGAGCGCUAUAGCCAACCAUGUCCGAAUGGGGAAACCCACCUAAGAUAACUUAGGUAUCGUUAAGUGAAUACAUAGCUUAACGAGGCGAACCGGGAGAACUGAAACAUCUAAGUACCCCGAGGAAAAGAAAUCAACCGAGAUUCCGUUAGUAGCGGCGAGCGAACGCGGAGCAGCCCAGAGUCUGAAUCAGUGGAUGC
This 255-nucleotide ribosomal RNA is filed under the name Plesiomonas shigelloides. RNAcentral describes it as "partial 23S ribosomal RNA". It matches the Rfam family "Bacterial large subunit ribosomal RNA", at positions 36 to 291 of the family's 2925-position model. The record is from RNAcentral. Lineage: Bacteria; Pseudomonadati; Pseudomonadota; Gammaproteobacteria; Enterobacterales; Enterobacteriaceae.